RNAcentral lists this ribosomal RNA (497 nucleotides) under uncultured bacterium. RNAcentral's name for it is "partial 16S ribosomal RNA". It matches the Rfam family "Bacterial small subunit ribosomal RNA", at positions 28 to 507 of the family's 1533-position model. The record is from RNAcentral.
GAUGAACGCUGGCGGCGUGCCUAAUACAUGCCAGUCGAGCGAACAGAUAAGGAGCUUGGUCCUUUGACGUUAGCGGCGGACGGGUGAGUAACACGUGGAUGACCUACCUAUAAGACUGGGAUAACUUCGGGAAACCGGAGCUAAUACCGGAUAAUAUAUUGAACCGCGUGGUUCAAUAGUUAAAGGCGGUUUUGCUGUCACUUAUAGAUGGAUCCGGACCGUAUUAGCUUGUUGGUAAGGUAACGGCUUACCAAGGCAACGAUAGGUAGCCGCCCUGAAGGGGUGGACCGCCACCUGGGCACAGAGGCCCGGCCCCGACUCCUGCAGGAAGACACAGUCCGGAAUCUUACGGGAUGGGGCAAAGGCUAACGGAGCACAGUCGGCUGAAUGCUGAACGUCCUCGGCUCCGUAAACUAUGUUAUCCUGGGAGAACAAAAGUUCAAUUAACCGUGAACAUCUUGACGGUACCUGAUCAAAAAGCCCCGGCUAACUCCGUG